Molecule: ribosomal RNA, 1453 nt
Filed under: uncultured organism
Description: SSU rRNA
Rfam family: Bacterial small subunit ribosomal RNA
Source: RNAcentral
GUCGGCAGGCCUAACACAUGCAAGUCGAGCGGUAGCACAGAGAGCUUGCUCUCGGGUGACGAGCGGCGGACGGGUGAGUAAUGUCUGGGAAACUGCCUGAUGGAGGGGGAUAACUACUGGAAACGGUAGCUAAUACCGCAUAAUGUCGCAAGACCAAAGUGGGGGACCUUCGGGCCUCAUGCCAUCAGAUGUGCCCAGAUGGGAUUAGCUAGUAGGUGGGGUAACGGCUCACCUAGGCGACGAUCCCUAGCUGGUCUGAGAGGAUGACCAGCCACACUGGAACUGAGACACGGUCCAGACUCCUACGGGAGGCAGCAGUGGGGAAUAUUGCACAAUGGGCGCAAGCCUGAUGCAGCCAUGCCGCGUGUGUGAAGAAGGCCUUCGGGUUGUAAAGCACUUUCAGCGGGGAGGAAGGCGGUGAGGUUAAUAACCUCAUCGAUUGACGUUACCCGCAGAAGAAGCACCGGCUAACUCCGUGCCAGCAGCCGCGGUAAUACGGAGGGUGCAAGCGUUAAUCGGAAUUACUGGGCGUAAAGCGCACGCAGGCGGUCUGUCAAGUCGGAUGUGAAAUCCCCGGGCUCAACCUGGGAACUGCAUUCGAAACUGGCAGGCUAGAGUCUUGUAGAGGGGGGUAGAAUUCCAGGUGUAGCGGUGAAAUGCGUAGAGAUCUGGAGGAAUACCGGUGGCGAAGGCGGCCCCCUGGACAAAGACUGACGCUCAGGUGCGAAAGCGUGGGGAGCAAACAGGAUUAGAUACCCUGGUAGUCCACGCCGUAAACGAUGUCGAUUUGGAGGUUGUGCCCUUGAGGCGUGGCUUCCGGAGCUAACGCGUUAAAUCGACCGCCUGGGGAGUACGGCCGCAAGGUUAAAACUCAAAUGAAUUGACGGGGGCCCGCACAAGCGGUGGAGCAUGUGGUUUAAUUCGAUGCAACGCGAAGAACCUUACCUGGUCUUGACAUCCACAGAACUUAGCAGAGAUGCUUUGGUGCCUUCGGGAACUGUGAGACAGGUGCUGCAUGGCUGUCGUCAGCUCGUGUUGUGAAAUGUUGGGUUAAGUCCCGCAACGAGCGCAACCCUUAUCCUUUGUUGCCAGCGGUUAGGCCGGGAACUCAAAGGAGACUGCCAGUGAUAAACUGGAGGAAGGUGGGGAUGACGUCAAGUCAUCAUGGCCCUUACGACCAGGGCUACACACGUGCUACAAUGGCAUAUACAAAGAGAAGCGACCUCGCGAGAGCAAGCGGACCUCAUAAAGUAUGUCGUAGUCCGGAUUGGAGUCUGCAACUCGACUCCAUGAAGUCGGAAUCGCUAGUAAUCGUAGAUCAGAAUGCUACGGUGAAUACGUUCCCGGGCCUUGUACACACCGCCCGUCACACCAUGGGAGUGGGUUGCAAAAGAAGUAGGUAGCUUAACCUUCGGGAGGGCGCUUACCACUUUGUGAUUCAUGACUGGGGUGA